AAAAAAACAAAGCUUGGGAGGAAGUAGCUGCUGAAUUCAACCUCAGCUACCCUGCUGAACGUCCCAGGACAGUAACCCAGCUCAAACGGGCUUGGGAGUACAUACGAGUGAAGAAGAAUCACAAGAAAUUUCUUCAUGAGUCCUUCAAGACUGGUGGAGGGCCAUCACCAAAACCAGUCACAGAUGACUUCUUGGCUGUUGCAACAGAUGCACUGGCUGUGGAGCUGCAAUUUGCAGACAACCAGCUAGAUAGCUUAGUACCCAUAGUCAUAAGAGAAGAGGAAGUAGGUCUGUAUUUUGGCUUUCUUUUCUGUUAGUCUUUAAUCAUAUACACAAUCUUACUUAUUGCCUUCAUUUUUCAUACUAUUUCUUUCCCCAUUUGUUAUUAUUAUUAUUUUUUUUUUGGACAGUAGGCUGCCCUGGCAACUGUGAAAUUAUCAUGAAUACGUUGUUUUUUGGAUAUGUUCAUGCAUUGUCAUAUAAUUCUGUUUCAUUCAGUAAAUUUACAGUUACUAGAAAUUUAGGAAAUACACAACAUGUAGUGCGCAAUAGCGUUGAUAGUAAAAUUAACGUUAAUGGCCAUGGACAUCAAUGUUAAAAGUGGAGUUAAAGUUAGGUUAGGUUCAGCUAGGUUGGUAUAGGUUAGGUUAGGUUAGAUUAGCAUAUUUUCAUUUGUGUGCACUGGUAGUGAUUGAUGCAUCAUAAACAUCUUUGUAAAAAUUUUGUUUCCUGUUUUAACAUUAACUUCUCAUCUAGCAGAAAUAAUUGACGACGACAUGCUUCCUGCAUGUACAAUAGCAGCAGGACCAUCGACAACACCAGCAGCAGGACCAGCAACAGCACCAGCAGCAGGACCAGCAACAGCACCAGCAGCAGGACCAGUGACAGCACCACCACCAGGACCAGCAACAGCACCAGCAGCAGGACCAGCAACAGCACCACCACCAGGACCAGCGACAGCACCACCACCAGGACCAGCUUCAGCACCACCAACAGUUACAGCAACAGCACCAGCAAUGGCACCAGCAACACCACCAGCAGGGCCAGCAACAGCACCAGGAGGAACAUCACAAACUGGACCCUCCACCCGUAGAGGCCGAAAGAGACCCCUACGCAGUGAGAGGGAGGAAUGUUUCCGCGCUAUUCGAGAA
This is a long non-coding RNA of Scylla paramamosain (green mud crab), 1151 nucleotides long. RefSeq lists it as uncharacterized. The transcript is spliced from 2 exons. The record is from RefSeq and is a predicted model, not a curated record. Lineage: Eukaryota; Metazoa; Arthropoda; Malacostraca; Decapoda; Portunidae.